This 343-nucleotide unclassified non-coding RNA is filed under the name soil metagenome. RNAcentral's name for it is "partial contains 5.8S ribosomal RNA, internal transcribed spacer 2, and large subunit ribosomal RNA". The stretch from base 1 to 120 matches the Rfam family "5.8S ribosomal RNA", at positions 35 to 154 of the family's 154-position model. The record is from RNAcentral.
GAUGAAGAACGCAGCGAAAUGCGAUAAGUAAUGUGAAUUGCAGAAUUCAGUGAAUCAUCGAAUCUUUGAACGCACAUUGCGCCCGCUAUUAUUCUGGCGGGCAUGCCUGUCCGAGCGUCAUUUCAACCCUCAAGCCCCCGGGCUUGGUGUUGGGGAUCGGCGAGCCUCCGCGCCCGCCGUCCCCUAAAUCUAGUGGCGGUCUCGCUGUAGCUUCCUCUGCGUAGUAGCACACCUCGCACUGGGAAACAGCGCGGCCACGCCGUUAAACCCCCAACUUCUGAACGUUUGACCUCGGAUCAGGUAGGAAUACCCGCUGAACUUAAGCAUAUCAAUAAGCGGAGGA